This 440-nucleotide ribosomal RNA is filed under the name uncultured bacterium. RNAcentral's name for it is "partial 16S ribosomal RNA". It matches the Rfam family "Bacterial small subunit ribosomal RNA", at positions 338 to 795 of the family's 1533-position model. The record is from RNAcentral.
CCUACGGGCGGCAGCAGUGGGGGAUAUUGCACAAUGGGGGAAACCCUGAUGCAGCGACGCCGCGUGAGUGAAGAAGUAUUUCGGUAUGUAAAGCUCUAUCUGCAGGGAAGUAAAUGACAGUACCUGACCAAGUAGCCCCGUCUAACUACGUUCCAGCAGCCCCGGUAAUACGGAGGGGGCCAGCGUUAUCCGGAUUUACCGGGUGUAAAGGGAGCGUAGACGGUUAGGUAAGUCUGGGGUGAAAGCCCGGGGCCCAACCCCGGGACUGCUUUGGAAACUGUGUAACUGGAGUACAGGAGGGGCAGGCGGAAUUCCUGGUGUAGCGGUGAAAUGCGUAGAUAUCAGGAGGAACACCGGCGGCGAAGGCGGCCUGCUGGACUGAAACUGACGUUGAGGCUCGAAAGCGUGGGGAGCAAACAGGAUUAGAUACCCGGGUAGUC